This 518-nucleotide ribosomal RNA is filed under the name Toxoplasma gondii ME49. RNAcentral describes it as "Toxoplasma gondii rRNA TGME49_458270". The record is from RNAcentral. Lineage: Eukaryota; Apicomplexa; Conoidasida; Eucoccidiorida; Sarcocystidae.
AACCAAAGCCUAAACCUGGUGAGAGAGAGAAGGCAAAGGGAUAGAUGGCAAACCGGCGGCACUUCUUGGAAUCAAAAAGGUCCCAAUCGCUUCCUUUUCAGCAAUUUCAGGCACUUUUAACUCUCUUUCCAAAGAACUUUUCAUCUUUCCCUCACGGUACUUGUUUGCUAUCGGUCUCGCGCCAGUACUUAGCUUUAUGUGAAACCUACCACACAUUUUGCGCUCAAAUCCCGAUGAACGCGACUCUAUAAAAGCGUACCGUACGUGGAACAAAAAACGCAGGGGAAGGACGGGAUUCUCACCCUCUAUGAUGUUCUUUCCCAAGAAACUUAACCCUGCGCUUCCACUGGUAACGCCUCUCGAGGCUACAAGUCAACAGCUCGGAAAGAGCAGUUGAUUUCCACUUUGAGCUGAUCCCGGUUCACUCGCCGUUACUAAGGGAAUCAUAGUUAUUUUCUUCUCCUCCGCUUAAUAAUAUGCUUAAGUUCAGCGGGUAACCUCGCCUGAUUUCAGGUCUG